RNAcentral lists this ribosomal RNA (253 nucleotides) under uncultured bacterium. RNAcentral's name for it is "partial 16S ribosomal RNA". It matches the Rfam family "Bacterial small subunit ribosomal RNA", at positions 524 to 776 of the family's 1533-position model. The record is from RNAcentral.
UACAGAGGCCUCGAGCGUUAGGCGGAAUCACUGGGCUUAAAGCGUGUGUAGGCGGAUCGUUAAGUACCUUGUGAAAUCCCACGGCUUAACCGUGGAACUGCUUGGUAUACUGGCGGUCUUGAGCCAGCUAGGGGCUACCGGAACAAAUGGUGGAGCGGUGAAAUGCGUAGAUAUCAUUUGGAACGCCAAUGGUGAAAACAGGUAGCUGGGGCUGUGCUGACGCUGAGACACGAAAGCCAGGGGAGCAAACGGG